UGAGUAAGUCAGAUGAUCGCGGACACAGCUAUGCUGUGAACGAGGAAAGUCCGAGCUCCAUAGGGUAAGGCGCUGGGUAACACCCAGUGGGGGCGACCCCAAGGAAAGUGCAACAGAGAGAUACCGCCAGAACCAUUGUUCAGUAGAAAUAUUGAGCUUGUGGUGAGAACAGCUUGUAGCUGUCUGGUAAGGCUGGAAAGGUGAGGUAAGAGCUCACCAGAGGCUAGGUGACUAGUCUGCUAUGUAAACCCCGCCUGGAGCAAGACCAAGUAGGAACAAAAAAGCGGCGACCCGUCGUGUUCCGUGGUAGGUUGCUUGAGCCGUCUGGUAACAGCCGGCCUAGAUAGAUGAUCGUCUAACACAGAACUCGGCUUAUAGACUUAGUCACAUA
Molecule: RNase P RNA, 391 nt
Filed under: Alkaliphilus flagellatus
Lineage: Bacteria; Bacillati; Bacillota; Clostridia; Peptostreptococcales; Natronincolaceae
Description: RNase P RNA component class A
Rfam family: Bacterial RNase P class A
About the family: Ribonuclease P (RNase P) is a ubiquitous endoribonuclease, found in archaea, bacteria and eukarya as well as chloroplasts and mitochondria. Its best characterised activity is the generation of mature 5'-ends of tRNAs by cleaving the 5'-leader elements of precursor-tRNAs.
Source: RNAcentral